Molecule: ribosomal RNA, 94 nt
Filed under: Poa amplexicaulis
Lineage: Eukaryota; Viridiplantae; Streptophyta; Magnoliopsida; Poales; Poaceae
Description: partial 26S ribosomal RNA
Rfam family: Eukaryotic large subunit ribosomal RNA
Source: RNAcentral
GCGACCCCAGGUCAGGCGGGACUACCCGCUGAAUUUAAGCAUAUAAAUAAGCGGAGGAGAAGAAACUUACAAGGAUUCCCCUAGUAACGGCGAG